This 73-nucleotide transfer RNA is filed under the name Ictidomys tridecemlineatus (thirteen-lined ground squirrel). RNAcentral's name for it is "Spermophilus tridecemlineatus (thirteen-lined ground squirrel) tRNA". It matches the Rfam family "tRNA". From Rfam's summary of the family: Transfer RNA (tRNA) molecules are approximately 80 nucleotides in length. Their secondary structure includes four short double-helical elements and three loops (D, anti-codon, and T loops). Lineage: Eukaryota; Metazoa; Chordata; Mammalia; Rodentia; Sciuridae. The record is from Rfam by way of RNAcentral.
GUUGCUAUAGCUCAGUAGGUAGAGUACUUGCCUUGCACACAUAAGGCCCUGGGUUCAAUCCCCAGCACCAAAA